Molecule: ribosomal RNA, 510 nt
Filed under: Triticum aestivum (bread wheat)
Lineage: Eukaryota; Viridiplantae; Streptophyta; Magnoliopsida; Poales; Poaceae
Description: partial small subunit ribosomal RNA
Source: RNAcentral
AUGGAACAUAAUCGUGCUCCUGGUCCCAAUAGUAUUCCCGCUGAAUUCUACCAGCAUUGUUGGGAGGUGGUAUGUGCAGAUCUCUUUAGACUUUUUGAGUGGUUUUAUGAGGGAAAAUUAGAUGUGCAACAUUUAAACUAUGGUAUUAUCACCCUUUUGCCCAAAACUUCUGCAGUGAAUAAAAUACAACAGUACAGACCUAUAUGCUUGCUGUGUUGCCCUUAUAAGCUAACUACAAAAGUCAUGGAUAGGAGGGCUAGUAUCUAUGCCCCCAAGCUUUUUAGCAUUCAGCAGAAUGCCUUCAUAAAGGGGAGGAACAUUAUGGACGGAGUUUUGUCGCUACAUGAGAUCAUGCACUAUACUCAUGUGAAAAAACAAACUGGUAUCAUCCUUAAGUUGGAUUUUGAAAAAGCUUAUGACAAGGUCAAUUGGGACUUCCUCCUCGAUUGCCAUGUCAAGCGGUGGGUUCAAUACCAAGUGGUGUGGAUGGGUAUCUCAGAUCCUACGUGA